AUGGUUAAGUUAGAAAGGGCGCACGGUGAAUGCCUUGGCACUAGGAGCCGAUGAAGGACGGGACUAACACCGAUAUGCUUCGGGGAGCUGUAAGUGAGCUUUGAUCCGGAGAUUUCCGAAUGGGGAAACCCACUGUUCGUAAUGGAGCAGUAUCUUUAUCUGAAUACAUAGGAUAUUGAAGGCAGACCCGGGGAACUGAAACAUCUAAGUACCCGGAGGAAGAGAAAGCAAAUGCGAUUUCCUGAGUAGCGGCGAGCGAAACGGAAUUAGCCCAAACCAAGAGGCUUGCCUCUUGGGGUUGUAGGACACUCUAUACGGAGUUACAAAGGAACGAAGUAAAUGAAGCGACCUGGAAAGGUCCGUCGAAGAAGGUAACAACCCUGUAGUUGAAACUUCGUUCCCUCUUGAGUGGAUCCUGAGUACGGCGGAACACGUGAAAUUCCGUCGGAAGCUGGGAGGACCAUCUCCCAAGGCUAAAUACUACCUAGUGACCGAUAGUGAACCAGUACCGUGAGGGAAAGGUGAAAAGCACCCCGGAAGGGGGAGUGAAAGAGAUCCUGAAACCGUGUGCCUACAAGUAGUCAGAGCCCGUUAACGGGUGAUGGCGUGCCUUUGUAGAAUGAACCGGCGAGUUACGAUCCCAUGCAAGGUUAAGCUGAUAAGGCGGAGCCGUAGCGAAAGCGAGUCUGAAUAGGGCGUUUAGUAUGUGGUUGUAGACCCGAAACCAGGUGAUCUACCCAUGUCCAGGGUGAAGUUCAGGUAACACUGAAUGGAGGCCCGAACCCACGCACGUUGAAAAGUGCGGGGAUGAGGUGUGGGUAGCGGAGAAAUUCCAAUCGAACCUGGAGAUAGCUGGUUCUCUCCGAAAUAGCUUUAGGGCUAGGCUCAUGUUGUGAGAGGCUUGGAGGUAGAGCACUGAUUGGACUAGGGGCCCCCAACGGGUUACCGAAUUAAGUCAAACUCCGAAUGCCAAAGACUUAUCCAUGGGAGUCAGACUGCGAGUGAUAAGAUCCGUAGUCAAAAGGGAAACAGCCCAGACCACCAGCUAAGGUCCCCAAGUAUACGUUAAGUGGAAAAGGAUGUGGAGUUGCUUAGACAACCAGGAUGUUGGCUUAGAAGCAGCCACCAUUUAAAGAGUGCGUAAUAGCUCACUGGUCGAGUGACUCUGCGCCGAAAAUGUACCGGGGCUAAACGUAUCACCGAAGCUGUGGAUUGACAUCUUUGAUGUCAGUGGUAGGAGAGCGUUCUAAGUGCUGUGAAGUCAGACCGGAAGGACUGGUGGAGCGCUUAGAAGUGAGAAUGCCGGUAUGAGUAGCGAAAGACAAGUGAGAAUCUUGUCCACCGAAUGCCUAAGGUUUCCUGAGGAAGGCUCGUCCGCUCAGGGUUAGUCGGGACCUAAGCCGAGGCUGAAAAGCGUAGGCGAUGGCCAACAGGUUGAUAUUCCUGUACCACCUCCCCGCCGUUUGAGUAAUGGGGGGACGCAGUAGGAUAGGGUAAGCGCGCUGCUGGAUAUGCGCGUUCAAGCAGUUAGGCUGAUGAGUAGGCAAAUCCGCUCAUCAUAAAGGCUGAGCUGUGAUGACGAGGGAAUUAUAGUACCGAAGUUCCUGAUUCCACACUGCCAAGAAAAGCCUCUAGCGAGGCGGGAGGUGCCCGUACCGCAAACCGACACAGGUAGGCGAGGAGAGAAUCCUAAGGUGAUCGAGAGAACUCUCGUUAAGGAACUCGGCAAAAUGACCCCGUAACUUCGGGAGAAGGGGUGCUCUGGUAGGGUGUAUAGCCCGAGAGAGCCGCAGUGAAUAGGCCCAGGCGACUGUUUAGCAAAAACACAGGUCUCUGCGAAGCCGCAAGGCGAAGUAUAGGGGCUGACGCCUGCCCGGUGCUGGAAGGUUAAGAGGAGGGGUUAUCCUUCGGGAGAAGCUCUGAAUCGAAGCCCCAGUAAACGGCGGCCGUAACUAUAACGGUCCUAAGGUAGCGAAAUUCCUUGUCGGGUAAGUUCCGACCCGCACGAAAGGCGUAACGAUCUGGGCACUGUCUCAACGAGAGACUCGGUGAAAUUAUAGUACCUGUGAAGAUGCAGGUUACCCGCGACAGGACGGAAAGACCCCGUGGAGCUUUACUGUAGCCUGAUAUUGAAUUUUGGUACAGCUUGUACAGGAUAGGUAGGAGCCUGAGAAGCCGGAGCGCUAGCUUCGGUGGAGGCGUCGGUGGGAUACUACCCUGGCUGUAUUGAAAUUCUAACCCGCGGCCCUGAUCGGGCCGGGAGACAGUGUCAGGUGGGCAGUUUGACUGGGGCGGUCGCCUCCUAAAAUGUAACGGAGGCGCCCAAAGGUUCCCUCAGAAUGGUUGGAAAUCAUUCGUAGAGUGUAAAGGCACAAGGGAGCUUGACUGCGAGACCUACAAGUCGAGCAGGGACGAAAGUCGGGCUUAGUGAUCCGGUGGUUCCGCAUGGAAGGGCCAUCGCUCAACGGAUAAAAGCUACCCCGGGGAUAACAGGCUUAUCUCCCCCAAGAGUCCACAUCGACGGGGAGGUUUGGCACCUCGAUGUCGGCUCAUCGCAUCCUGGGGCUGUAGUCGGUCCCAAGGGUUGGGCUGUUCGCCCAUUAAAGCGGUACGCGAGCUGGGUUCAGAACGUCGUGAGACAGUUCGGUCCCUAUCCGUCGUGGGCGUAGGAAAUUUGAGAGGAGCUGUCCUUAGUACGAGAGGACCGGGAUGGACACACCGCUGGUGUACCAGUUGUCUUGCCAAAGGCAUCGCUGGGUAGCUAUGUGUGGACGGGAUAAGUGCUGAAAGCAUCUAAGCAUGAAGCCCCCCUCAAGAUGAGAUUUCCCAUAGCGCAAGCUAGUAAGAUCCCUGAAAGAUGAUCAGGUUGAUAGGUCAGAGGUGGAAGCGUGGCGACAUGUGUAGCUGACUGAUACUAAUCGAUCGAGGACUUAACCAAAC
RNAcentral lists this ribosomal RNA (2940 nucleotides) under Priestia megaterium NBRC 15308 = ATCC 14581. RNAcentral describes it as "Bacillus megaterium NBRC 15308 = ATCC 14581 23S ribosomal RNA". It matches the Rfam family "Bacterial large subunit ribosomal RNA". Lineage: Bacteria; Bacillati; Bacillota; Bacilli; Caryophanales; Bacillaceae. The record is from RNAcentral.